This 406-nucleotide ribosomal RNA is filed under the name uncultured Anaerolineae bacterium. Its description in RNAcentral is "bacterial SSU rRNA". It matches the Rfam family "Bacterial small subunit ribosomal RNA", at positions 355 to 776 of the family's 1533-position model. Lineage: Bacteria; Bacillati; Chloroflexota; Anaerolineae. The record is from RNAcentral.
UGAGGAAUAUUGCGCAAUGGGGGAAACCCUGACGCAGCGACGCCGCGUGGGUGACGAAGGCCUUCGGGUCGUAAAACCCUUUUGGCAGGGACGAGUGAGGACGGUACCUGUCGAAUAAGUCUCGGCGAACUACGUGCCAGCAGCCGCGGUAAAACGUAGGAGGCGAGCGUUAUCCGGAUUCACUGGGCGUAAAGCGCACGUAGGCGGUCGGGUAAGUCGGAUGUUAAAGCCCCUGGCUCAACUGGGGGAGGUCAUUCGAUACUGCUCGGCUUGAGGAUGAGAGAGGAAAGUGGAAUUCCCGGUGUAGCGGUGGAAUGCGUAGAGAUCGGGAGGAACACCAGUGGCGAAAGCGGCUUUCUGGCUCAUUCCUGACGCUGAGUGUGCGAAAGCGUGGGUAGCAAACGGG